CAGUAGCCGCGGUAAUACGUAUGUCGCAAGCGUUAUCCGGAAUUAUUGGGCAUAAAGGGCAUCUAGGCGGCUUUGCAAGUCCGAGGUGAAAACUAUUGGCUCAACCAAUAGCUUGCCUUGGAAACUGCUUUGCUAGAGUAUUGGAGAGGUGGACGGAACUGCACGAGUAGAGGUGAAAUUCGUAGAUAUGUGCAGGAAUGCCGAUGAUGAAGAUAGUUCACUGGACGAUAACUGACGCUCAAGUGCGAAAGCUAGGGGAGCAAACAGGAUUAGAUACCCCUGUAGUCCCUGUCUCUUAUAC
This 301-nucleotide ribosomal RNA is filed under the name uncultured bacterium. RNAcentral describes it as "partial 16S ribosomal RNA". It matches the Rfam family "Bacterial small subunit ribosomal RNA", at positions 509 to 807 of the family's 1533-position model. The record is from RNAcentral.